GUUUAUAUAGUUUAAAAUAAAACAUAAUCCUUUCACGAUUAAAAUGAACUCUUAUAUUCUAUAAAUU
This 67-nucleotide transfer RNA is filed under the name Pityogenes bidentatus. Its description in RNAcentral is "tRNA-Glu". Lineage: Eukaryota; Metazoa; Arthropoda; Insecta; Coleoptera; Curculionidae. The record is from RNAcentral.